RNAcentral lists this ribosomal RNA (627 nucleotides) under uncultured bacterium. Its description in RNAcentral is "bacterial SSU rRNA". It matches the Rfam family "Bacterial small subunit ribosomal RNA", at positions 97 to 700 of the family's 1533-position model. The record is from RNAcentral.
GGCGCACGGGUGAGUAACACGUGGGUAAUCUGCCCUUGAGUUUGGGAUAACCCCGCGAAAGCGGGGCUAAUACCGAAUAAGACCACGGGGACCAAAGUCCCUGAGGUAAAAGAUGGCCUCUAUUUAUAAGCUAUCACUUAAGGAUGAGCCCGCGGCCCAUUAGCUAGUUGGCAGGGUAAUGGCCUACCAAGGCAAUGAUGGGUAGCUGGUCUGAGAGGACGAUCAGCCACACUGGAACUGAGACACGGUCCAGACUCCUACGGGAGGCAGCAGUGGGGAAUAUUGCGCAAUGGGCGAAAGCCUGACGCAGCAACGCCGCGUGGGGGAUGAAGGUUUUCGGAUUGUAAACCCCUUUCGAUCGGAACGAAUCUCCUCUUGGUAAAUAAUCAGGAGGAUCGACGGUACCGGGAGAAGAAGCCACGGCUAACUCUGUGCCAGCAGCCGCGGUAAGACAGAGGUGGCAAGCGUUGUUCGGAUUUAUUGGGCGUAAAGCGAACGCAGGCGGUUUGGUAAGUCAGGGGUGAAAGACCACAGCUUAACUGUGGUAUAGCCUUUGAUACUGCCUUUCUUGAGUGGAGUAGGGGGAAGCGGAAUUCCGAGUGUAGAGGUGAAAUUCGUAGAUAUUCG